GGGGGCGAUCCGGUUUCGACUGAAUGAGCGGAACGCAGAUGGCAUGCCGAGGACGACCGUUGGCCUCGCUAAUCACCGGUCACACUAGUAACUGCGAACGAAGAACUCGCACUCGCUGCCUAAUUAGCAACGACGUUCCCACUCCGACGGACGCUAGGGGAUGGGAACGAAAGCAGCGUCCUGGCGUUUGGAGCAUAGCCUGCGCUCCUGCGUAAGAAAACAGUGGGCCUAGUCUGAAGGGAAGCCUGUCCGCCGGCCCGCCCCAAGGACGAUAAACCCAAUGACGGAACAAGCAUGUAGAAGUCUACGGAAAGUUUGUCCAGGACGCGGGUUCGACUCCCGCCGCCUCCACCA
This 354-nucleotide transfer-messenger RNA is filed under the name Victivallales. RNAcentral describes it as "f GWF2-45-14 X1 Standard tmRNA". It matches the Rfam family "transfer-messenger RNA". From Rfam's summary of the family: Bacterial tmRNA, also known as 10Sa RNA or SsrA, is named for its dual tRNA and mRNA-like properties. Lineage: Bacteria; Pseudomonadati; Lentisphaerota; Lentisphaeria. The record is from RNAcentral. RNAcentral also lists the same sequence under 1 other name.